GACGAACGCUGGCGGCGUGCCUAAUACAUGCAAGUCGAACGCAUUUUCUUUCACCGUAGCUUGCUACACCGAAAGAAAAUGAGUGGCGAACGGGUGAGUAACACGUGGGUAACCUGCCCAUCAGCGGGGGAUAACACUUGGAAACAGGUGCUAAUACCGCAUAAUUCCAUUUACCGCAUGGUAAAUGGAUGAAAGGCGCUUUUGCGUCACUGAUGGAUGGACCCGCGGUGCAUUAGCUAGUUGGUGGGGUAACGGCCUACCAAGGCCGCGAUGCAUAGCCGACCUGGGAGGGUGGUCGGCCACACUGGGACUGAGACACGGCCCAGACUCCUACGGGAGGCAGCCGUAGGGAAUCUUCGGCAAUGGACGCAAGUCUGACCGAGCAACGCCGCGUGAGUGAAGAAGGUUUUCGGAUCGUAAAACUCUGUUGUUAGAGAAGAACAAGGAUGAGAGUGGAAAGUUCAUCCCUUGACGGUAUCUAACCAGAAAGCCACGGCUAACUACGUG
Molecule: ribosomal RNA, 507 nt
Filed under: uncultured bacterium
Lineage: Bacteria
Description: partial 16S ribosomal RNA
Rfam family: Bacterial small subunit ribosomal RNA
Source: RNAcentral